CCUACGGGAGGCAGCAGUGGGGAAUAUUGCACAAUGGGGGAAACCCUGAUGCAGCGACGCCGCGUGAGUGAAGAAGUAAUUCGUUAUGUAAAGCUCUAUCAGCAGGGAAGAAAAUGACGGUACCUGAGUAAGAAGCCCCGGCUAACUACGUGACAGCAGCCGCGGUAAUACGUAGGGGGCAAGCGUUAUCCGGAUUUACUGGGUGGAAAGGGAGCGUAGACGGCAGUGCAAGUCUGGAGUGAAAGGCGGGGGCUCAACCCCCGGACUGCUCUGGAAACUGUACGGCUGGAGUGCAGGAGAGGUAAGUGGAAUUCCUAGUGUAGCGGUGAAAUGCGUAGAUAUUAGGAGGAACACCAGUGGCGAAGGCGGCUUACUGGACUUUAACUGACGUUGAGGCUCGAAAGCGUGGGGAGCAAACAGGAUUAGAUACCCGAGUAGUC
Molecule: ribosomal RNA, 440 nt
Filed under: uncultured bacterium
Lineage: Bacteria
Description: partial 16S ribosomal RNA
Rfam family: Bacterial small subunit ribosomal RNA
Source: RNAcentral